RNAcentral lists this ribosomal RNA (388 nucleotides) under uncultured bacterium. Its description in RNAcentral is "bacterial SSU rRNA". It matches the Rfam family "Bacterial small subunit ribosomal RNA", at positions 28 to 420 of the family's 1533-position model. The record is from RNAcentral.
GACGAACGCUGGCGGCGUGCUUAACACAUGCAAGUCGAACGGUAAGGCCCUUCGGGUACGACGAGUGGCGAACGGGUGGAGUAACACGUGGGUGAUCUGCCUGCACUUCGGGAUAAGCCUGGGAAACUGGGUCUAAUACCGGAUAGGACCAUGGACUUCACGGUUUGUGGUGGAAAGCUUUUGCGGUGUGGGAUGGGCCCGCGGCCUAUCAGCUUGUUGGUGGGGUAAUGGCCUACCAAGGCGACGACGGGUAGCCGGCCUGAGAGGGUGUCCGGCCACACUGGGACUGAGAUACGGCCCAGACUCCUACGGGAGGCAGCAGUGGGGAAUAUUGCACAAUGGGCGCAAGCCUGAUGCAGCGACGCCGCGUGAGGGACGACGGCCUCGG